CCCACCCCCACCCCCCUCGUGCCCGCUCCGCUACGUAUUCCCGUAUUCCCGGGUGCCUGGCAACAGUGAUGUGCUUUAGGCCUUUUUUAGAAUGCAUACAAACGGAACCAUAUCUAAGUGAUGUCUGGCUUUUUUAACUUAGCACAAUGCUUUGAGAUUCAUACUAUUGUGUUUAAUUAGUAAUUCAUUUGUGUUAUUGUUGAAUGGUAGUCUAUCAUAUGGGUAAGCCACAGUUUAUUUAUCCAUUCACCAAUUGAUGGGCCUGUCGGUUGUAGGGAACAGGAGAAAACUUCCCCUUUGCCCUCUGAAGGGUCACCGAAAAUCAACUGACAAGGCUGGGCCUGGGCUCCUGCCUGUAACCCCAGCCCUUUUUUAGCCCAAGGCAGGAGGAUCUCUUCUUUGUGAAGUGUGUAUUCAAAUCUUUUGACCAUUUAUUUAUUAGCUAGCUUGACUUUUUAUCUAAGAGUUCUUUAUAUAUUAUUGAGUUCUUUAUAUGUUUCAUACCAUGUUCUUUAUUAGCUAUACGUUUUGAAAUGUUUUCUACCUGUCUGUGGCUUGCCUCUUCAUUUUAAGUGUCUUUUGAAGCACUGAAGUUUUCAAUUUUGAUGUAAUUUAUCCAUUUUUUUCUUUUACAUAGUUCAUACCUUUUUUGUCCUACUUAAGACAUUUUUGCUAAAUUCAAGAUUAUAAGAUUUCCUCAUUUGUUACCUUCUGGAAGUUUUAUAAUUGUUGGUCUUCAUUAUAUUUAAAAUGAAUUAUUCUUUAUAGUAUCGAUAGAUGCUGGAGGCAGAUAAGGGAGGGUCCCUGGAGAAUCUCUGACCUGCCUCACAAGCUUUUGUGCAGCUGAGGAAGCCUGCCCAGGGUCUUGUCUGGGCAUGCCCACAAGGGACUUGGGGGCCCACUGCACCAGGAGAGUGGGGUGCAGCCAGAGGGAAUUCAGCCUUAUGCAGCAGGGAUGAGCAAGAAGUCUUCAGCUUGUGUGUGUUGGCCUGUUAUUCAGUCUGUGAGCUGGGAGCCUGUUGGCAGGACCCUCCUUGUUUUUUUGCUAAGAGCUUUUAAUAAAUGCCACUCUUCACCUUGCAAUGUAUUCACAUGCCUAAUUGUUCCUGGUCAUGAGACAAGAACCUGGAUUUUAGCUGAGCUAAGGAGCAAAAAUUCCUGCAUCAGUAUGAGGUGUAAGGAAGAACAGAAGGAUCCAAGUGUGAGAAAGCCCACCCUGAGUCUCUCAGAGAUUCAUUUCACUACCAGGUCAAAGACACAAUCAAAAGCCCGACAAAUGGAAUUUGUGGAAUUGGAACAAAAAGGCACAAGAACAUCAAAGCAUAAAUCCUUCAGGUAUCAGCAAUGACAUCACUUAAGAAUUUCUCAGAAUCUUUGGCACCACCCCAGGCCUACCGGAUCAGAAUCUGAAUUUUUUAACAAGAUCUCAGAUCUAGUCAAGAGUCCAGUCUGAUUUCUCUUUAUUGGGACUACCACCCAAAGCAGAAUGAGGAUGAUGUAACCACGCCCAGUGACUUCUGGAUACCACUGACUCUAGAUGAGCAAGGAGAGACUCAGAGGAAGUCAGCGUUACUCGAUUAGAAAGUGACUGUGGCACUACCAUAGUAGUAAAAUCUACCAUGGCAGAGAAAAUGCCAUAUGUUCACCUUGCCAGUCGUUUUUCUUUUUCCUCCUGGGUUUAUAGGAAGAUGGCAGCCCCUGGCUCCCCUGCAAUCAGGCAGGGCCAUGUGACUGAGUCUUAGCUCACCAAUGUGGGAGAAAGUGAUGUGUGACACAUUAAGGCCAGGCCACUGAAACCUCUCAUGGGAACUUCCAUACUCACUUCCCUCAUCUGCUAGCCAACCCAAAAGAUUGAGUGGAGGAUUUUACAGCCCCAGGGCCUAGAGAUGCUGGAAAGAAGCCUGAUUCAGCCCUGAAUGAACCUGUGCAAAGGUGCCUCUGACCUCCAACCCUUGUUGGACUAGGAUGUUGGAAAAUACUGUGUUAAGCUACUGGGAUUUCAAAGUUGUUUGUCAUAGCAGCUAGCCAUAUUUACUCUACCUGAUAGAUCUAUGUUCUGUAAUUACAGUGUUUGCCUUUCAUGUCCUAAGGGUAAAUAAGUGAUAUAUGCAACAAUAAACUGUGAUGUACUAUAUAUUGUUUUUAUUACAUUAAAAUUCUUAAAAUUUGCUUUUUCA
RNAcentral lists this long non-coding RNA (2177 nucleotides) under Homo sapiens (human). RNAcentral's name for it is "HSALNT0320831". The record is from RNAcentral. Lineage: Eukaryota; Metazoa; Chordata; Mammalia; Primates; Hominidae.